RNAcentral lists this ribosomal RNA (432 nucleotides) under Protancylus adhaerens. RNAcentral describes it as "partial large subunit ribosomal RNA". Lineage: Eukaryota; Metazoa; Mollusca; Gastropoda; Protancylidae. The record is from RNAcentral.
AGUUUAAAGAAAUUAUUUUAAAUGAAUCCUGCCCAGUGUUAAUUAUAAAUGGCCGCAGUACCCUGACUGUGCGAAGGUAGCAUAAUCAAUUGGCUUUUAAUUGAAGUCUGGAAUGAAAGGAGAUUUGGAAAAAAGCUGUCUCAAAAAUAUUUAGUCGAAUUUAAUUAUUAGGUGUAAAUACCUAUUUAGAGAAAAAAGACGAGAAGACCCUUAGAAUUUUAAAAAUAUUACUUAAUUAAUUUAUUUUUGUUGGGGCGACAAUUAAACAUUUUUAACUUUAAUUUUUUAUACAAAACGAAAUUGUUAUAAAAGGAUAAAUUACCUUAGGGAUAACAGCAUAAUUUUUUAAUAAGUUUGUGACCUCGAUGUUGGACUAGGAACUUUAUGGCAAGCAGUCAAAAAAGAUUUGUUCUGUUCGAACAAUAUUAUCCU